CCUACGGGGUGCUGCAGUGAGGAAUAUUGGUCAAUGGUCGGGAGCCUGAACCAGCCAAGCCGCGUGAGGGAGGAAGGUACAGAGUAUCGUAAACCUCUUUUGUCAGGGAACAAAGACUGGGACGCGUCCCCGGAUGAGUGUACCUGAAGAAAAAGCAUCGGCUAACUCCGUGCCAGCAGCCGCGGUAAUACGGAGGAUGCGAGCGUUAUCCGGAUUUAUUGGGUUUAAAGGGUGCGCAGGCGGUCUGUUAAGUCAGCGGUCAAAGCCCGGGGCUCAACCCCGGCCCGCCGUUGAAACUGGCAGUCUCGAGUUGGAGAGAAGUAUGCGGAAUGCGCGGUGUAGCGGGGAAAUGCAUAGAUAUCGCGCAGAACUCCGAUUGCGAAGGCAGCAGGCCGGCUCCACACUGACGCUGAGGCACGAAAGCGUGGGUAUCGAACAGGAUUAGAUACCCUUGUAGUC
This 459-nucleotide ribosomal RNA is filed under the name uncultured bacterium. Its description in RNAcentral is "partial 16S ribosomal RNA". It matches the Rfam family "Bacterial small subunit ribosomal RNA", at positions 338 to 795 of the family's 1533-position model. The record is from RNAcentral.